Molecule: ribosomal RNA, 439 nt
Filed under: uncultured bacterium
Lineage: Bacteria
Description: bacterial SSU rRNA
Rfam family: Bacterial small subunit ribosomal RNA
Source: RNAcentral
CGCUGGCGGCACGCCUAACACAUGCAAGUCGAACGGAAUUUAAGUCUUCGGAUUUAAAUUUAGUGGCGCACGGGUGCGUAACGCGUGGGAAUCUGCCCUUGGGUUCGGAAUAACAGUUAGAAAUGACUGCUAAUACCGGAUGAUGUCUUCGGACCAAAGAUUUAUCGCCCAGGGAUGAGCCCGCGUAGGAUUAGGUAGUUGGUGGGGUAAAGGCCUACCAAGCCGACGAUCCUUAGCUGGUCUGAGAGGAUGAUCAGCCACACUGGGACUGAGACACGGCCCAGACUCCUACGGGAGGCAGCAGUGGGGAAUAUUGGACAAUGGGCGCAAGCCUGAUCCAGCAAUGCCGCGUGAGUGAUGAAGGCCUUCGGGUCGUAAAGCUCUUUUACCCGGGAUGAUAAUGACAGUACCGGGAGAAUAAGCUCCGGCUAACUCCGUG